CCCAAUAUGCUGUAUGUCACCCACAUACAUAAUCAAGAAGUUAGUAGGACUCCCACCUAUCUUCUUGCACAUACAUAUGGUUUAUCUAUUUUUGAUAACGUCAAAUAUUUUGACUAUCUCAUCAAAAAUAGAAGUACCAUCUCCUCAAAAUCUGCUUGAAUCCAUAAAUGCAUUUGCCCUCCCACUAGAGUCAACUUCUCUAGAUGAAGUAUGGUAAUAGCAAAAAUCCAAAUAGACAUUCCUAUUAGCAACCUAUUGGGUCAUACCCAUAGAUGCUUCAACUAUAGUCCAAACUUGGUUGAUGUACAGGGAGUUCAUUUCGAAUAUCAAGAUUUCAGGCCAACUGUCAGAGUCUCUACUCAUGACAAUCUUCGAAUAGGUCAAGAUGAACAUCAUUCUCAAUGAUGUAUGGUGUAUCGUCAUUCUCAAUGACAAACCCAUAUUAGAGUAGUACAUUACGCACUUGGAUUGACCUUCAAUGAGGAGGUGUGUUUUAUGGUUGUGCCUCAUCAAUGAGCACAUCAGGUUGAGGAUCAAUUUUGUGGACAUUUCACAGAUUAUAAUAGGAUAGUUCAUAAGUCUUGAACUUCUCAAGUUCAAUUAUUCUCCCAUUGUCCCCUUCUUAGAAAAAUUUUUUUCCUAAAAGAUGGUAUAUCUACUAUCAAAACACUUUUGUCAAGUAGUGUGGUAGAAAUAGUAUCACAUACUACUCUUAGGAUAACCUAUAAACUAAUAUAUAUAUAUAUAUUAACCUAUUUUAGCAUAAAACUUAUGUACAUCAGUAUUUUUCACAUAAGUUGGCCAAUCUGCCCAUAUUUCAUAUGGAGUGCUCAU
RNAcentral lists this long non-coding RNA (834 nucleotides) under Elaeis guineensis (African oil palm). RNAcentral's name for it is "long non-coding RNA (EGUI_LNC052709)". Lineage: Eukaryota; Viridiplantae; Streptophyta; Magnoliopsida; Arecales; Arecaceae. The record is from RNAcentral.